This 2925-nucleotide ribosomal RNA is filed under the name Escherichia coli. Its description in RNAcentral is "23S ribosomal RNA". It matches the Rfam family "Bacterial large subunit ribosomal RNA". The record is from RNAcentral. Lineage: Bacteria; Pseudomonadati; Pseudomonadota; Gammaproteobacteria; Enterobacterales; Enterobacteriaceae.
GGGUUGUGAGGUUAAGCGACUAAGCGUACACGGUGGAUGCCCUGGCAGUCAGAGGCGAUGAAGGACGUGCUAAUCUGCGAUAAGCGUCGGUAAGGUGAUAUGAACCGUUAUAACCGGCGAUUUCCGAAUGGGGAAACCCAGUGUGAUUCGUCACACUAUCAUUAACUGAAUCCAUAGGUUAAUGAGGCGAACCGGGGGAACUGAAACAUCUAAGUACCCCGAGGAAAAGAAAUCAACCGAGAUUCCCCCAGUAGCGGCGAGCGAACGGGGAGCAGCCCAGAGCCUGAAUCAGUAUGUGUGUUAGUGGAAGCGUCUGGAAAGGCGCGCGAUACAGGGUGACAGCCCCGUACACAAAAAUGCACAUGCUGUGAGCUCGAUGAGUAGGGCGGGACACGUGGUAUCCUGUCUGAAUAUGGGGGGACCAUCCUCCAAGGCUAAAUACUCCUGACUGACCGAUAGUGAACCAGUACCGUGAGGGAAAGGCGAAAAGAACCCCGGCGAGGGGAGUGAAAAAGAACCUGAAACCGUGUACGUACAAGCAGUGGGAGCACGCUUAGGCGUGUGACUGCGUACCUUUUGUAUAAUGGGUCAGCGACUUAUAUUCUGUAGCAAGGUUAACCGAAUAGGGGAGCCGAAGGGAAACCGAGUCUUAACUGGGCGUUAAGUUGCAGGGUAUAGACCCGAAACCCGGUGAUCUAGCCAUGGGCAGGUUGAAGGUUGGGUAACACUAACUGGAGGACCGAACCGACUAAUGUUGAAAAAUUAGCGGAUGACUUGUGGCUGGGGGUGAAAGGCCAAUCAAACCGGGAGAUAGCUGGUUCUCCCCGAAAGCUAUUUAGGUAGCGCCUCGUGAAUUCAUCUCCGGGGGUAGAGCACUGUUUCGGCAAGGGGGUCAUCCCGACUUACCAACCCGAUGCAAACUGCGAAUACCGGAGAAUGUUAUCACGGGAGACACACGGCGGGUGCUAACGUCCGUCGUGAAGAGGGAAACAACCCAGACCGCCAGCUAAGGUCCCAAAGUCAUGGUUAAGUGGGAAACGAUGUGGGAAGGCCCAGACAGCCAGGAUGUUGGCUUAGAAGCAGCCAUCAUUUAAAGAAAGCGUAAUAGCUCACUGGUCGAGUCGGCCUGCGCGGAAGAUGUAACGGGGCUAAACCAUGCACCGAAGCUGCGGCAGCGACGCUUAUGCGUUGUUGGGUAGGGGAGCGUUCUGUAAGCCUGUGAAGGUGUGCUGUGAGGCAUGCUGGAGGUAUCAGAAGUGCGAAUGCUGACAUAAGUAACGAUAAAGCGGGUGAAAAGCCCGCUCGCCGGAAGACCAAGGGUUCCUGUCCAACGUUAAUCGGGGCAGGGUGAGUCGACCCCUAAGGCGAGGCCGAAAGGCGUAGUCGAUGGGAAACAGGUUAAUAUUCCUGUACUUGGUGUUACUGCGAAGGGGGGACGGAGAAGGCUAUGUUGGCCGGGCGACGGUUGUCCCGGUUUAAGCGUGUAGGCUGGUUUUCCAGGCAAAUCCGGAAAAUCAAGGCUGAGGCGUGAUGACGAGGCACUACGGUGCUGAAGCAACAAAUGCCCUGCUUCCAGGAAAAGCCUCUAAGCAUCAGGUAACAUCAAAUCGUACCCCAAACCGACACAGGUGGUCAGGUAGAGAAUACCAAGGCGCUUGAGAGAACUCGGGUGAAGGAACUAGGCAAAAUGGUGCCGUAACUUCGGGAGAAGGCACGCUGAUAUGUAGGUGAAGUCCCUCGCGGAUGGAGCUGAAAUCAGUCGAAGAUACCAGCUGGCUGCAACUGUUUAUUAAAAACACAGCACUGUGCAAACACGAAAGUGGACGUAUACGGUGUGACGCCUGCCCGGUGCCGGAAGGUUAAUUGAUGGGGUCAGCGCAAGCGAAGCUCUUGAUCGAAGCCCCGGUAAACGGCGGCCGUAACUAUAACGGUCCUAAGGUAGCGAAAUUCCUUGUCGGGUAAGUUCCGACCUGCACGAAUGGCGUAAUGAUGGCCAGGCUGUCUCCACCCGAGACUCAGUGAAAUUGAACUCGCUGUGAAGAUGCAGUGUACCCGCGGCAAGACGGAAAGACCCCGUGAACCUUUACUAUAGCUUGACACUGAACAUUGAGCCUUGAUGUGUAGGAUAGGUGGGAGGCUUUGAAGUGUGGACGCCAGUCUGCAUGGAGCCGACCUUGAAAUACCACCCUUUAAUGUUUGAUGUUCUAACGUUGACCCGUAAUCCGGGUUGCGGACAGUGUCUGGUGGGUAGUUUGACUGGGGCGGUCUCCUCCUAAAGAGUAACGGAGGAGCACGAAGGUUGGCUAAUCCUGGUCGGACAUCAGGAGGUUAGUGCAAUGGCAUAAGCCAGCUUGACUGCGAGCGUGACGGCGCGAGCAGGUGCGAAAGCAGGUCAUAGUGAUCCGGUGGUUCUGAAUGGAAGGGCCAUCGCUCAACGGAUAAAAGGUACUCCGGGGAUAACAGGCUGAUACCGCCCAAGAGUUCAUAUCGACGGCGGUGUUUGGCACCUCGAUGUCGGCUCAUCACAUCCUGGGGCUGAAGUAGGUCCCAAGGGUAUGGCUGUUCGCCAUUUAAAGUGGUACGCGAGCUGGGUUUAGAACGUCGUGAGACAGUUCGGUCCCUAUCUGCCGUGGGCGCUGGAGAACUGAGGGGGGCUGCUCCUAGUACGAGAGGACCGGAGUGGACGCAUCACUGGUGUUCGGGUUGUCAUGCCAAUGGCACUGCCCGGUAGCUAAAUGCGGAAGAGAUAAGUGCUGAAAGCAUCUAAGCACGAAACUUGCCCCGAGAUGAGUUCUCCCUGACUCCUUGAGAGUCCUGAAGGAACGUUGAAGACGACGACGUUGAUAGGCCGGGUGUGUAAGCGCAGCGAUGCGUUGAGCUAACCGGUACUAAUGAACCGUGAGGCUUAACCUUACAACGCCGAAG